ACACGACUACAUUAGAUACCCCGGUAGUCCUAGCCGUAAACGAUACUCGCUAGGUGUCGGCCACGGUGCGACCGUUGUCGGUGCCGUAGGGAAGCCGUGAAGCGAGCCACCUGGGAAGUACGGCCGCAAGGCUGAAACUUAAAGGAAUUGGCGGGGGAGCACCACAACGGGUGGAGCUUGCGGUUUAAUUGGAUCCAACGCCGGAAAUCUUACCGGGACCGACAGCAACAUGAAGGCCAGGCUGAAGACUUUGCCGGAUUAGCUG
RNAcentral lists this ribosomal RNA (265 nucleotides) under uncultured archaeon. Its description in RNAcentral is "partial 16S ribosomal RNA". It matches the Rfam family "Archaeal small subunit ribosomal RNA", at positions 717 to 982 of the family's 1478-position model. The record is from RNAcentral.